RNAcentral lists this ribosomal RNA (1352 nucleotides) under uncultured marine eukaryote. RNAcentral describes it as "SSU rRNA". It matches the Rfam family "Eukaryotic small subunit ribosomal RNA", at positions 411 to 1775 of the family's 1831-position model. The record is from RNAcentral.
CACUUCUAAGGAAGGCAGCAGGCGCGCAAAUUACCCAAUCCUGACUCAGGGAGGUAGUGACAAGAAAUAACAAUAAACCGGCUUAUGCCGGUUUAAUUGGAAUGAGUACAAUUUAAACAUCUUAACGAGGAACAAUUGGAGGGCAAGUCUGGUGCCAGCAGCCGCGGUAAUUCCAGCUCCAAUAGCGUAUACUAAAGUUGUUGCAGUUAAAAAGCUCGUAGUUGGAUUUCUGUGGGGACGGAGCGGCCGGCCGCACAUCGCGGUUCGAGCUAGCGCUUUCCCUACAUCCUGCCGCGAACCGUGCUACCAUUAAUUUGGUGGCGCCGGGGAUCGGCUCGAUUACUUUGAGAAAAAUAGAGUGUUCAAAGCAGGCCACAUGCCUUGAAUAAGUUAGCAUGGAAUAAUAACUAAGGACUUCGGUUCUAUUUUGUUGGUGUUCGGGACUGAAGUAAUGAUUGAUAGGGACAGUUGGGGCGGUCUGUAUUCCAAAGCGAGAGGUGAAAUUCUUAGACCUUCGGAAGACAAACAGCUGCGAAAGCGUUCCGCAAGGAUGUUCCCUUUGAUCAAGAACGAAAGUUGGGGGAUCGAAGACGAUCAGAUACCGUCGUAGUCUCAACUAUAAACUAUACCAGCUAGGGAUCGGCCAACGUUAUUUUAUACCGACUUGGUCGGCACCUUAUGAGAAAUCAAAGCAUCUGGGUUCCGGGGGGAGUAUGGUCGCAAGGCUGAAACUUAAAGGAAUUGACGGAAGGGCACCACCAGCCGUGGAGCCUGUGGCUUAAUUUGACUCAACACGGGAAAACUUACCAGGUCCAGACAUAGUAAGGAUUGACAGAUUGAUAGCUCUUUCUUGAUUCUGUGGGUGGUGGUGCAUGGCCGUUCUCAGUUGGUGGAGUGAUUUGUCUGGUUAAUUCCGUUAACGAACGAGACCCCAGCCUGCUAAAUAGCGCGCAUGAGCUUUGCUCGUGGCGAGCUUCUUAGGGGGACUAUGAUGCGCGAUAGCACAUGGAAGUUUGGGGCAAUAACAGGUCUGUGAUGCCCUUAGAUGUUCUGGGCCGCACACGGGCUACACUGGCGCCUGCAACGAGCAUAUCAGCUGGCCCGAGAGGGUCUUGGCUAAUCUUUUGAACCGGCGCCGUGCUUGGGAUUGACCUUUGCAAUUGUUGGUCAUGCAACGAGGAAUGCCUUGUAAACGCGAGUCAUCAGCUCGCAUUGAAUACGUCCCUGCCCUUUGUACACACCGCCCGUCGCUCCUACCGAUGAAUGUUCCGAUGAAAUUUUCGGAGAGUGCCUGUGAACUUGGCUCUGCCUUGCGAACGGGAAGCUCAAAGUCACUUAAAUCUGAACAUUUC